AAGACCAAUGGCGCCGUGAUGGAGCACGCUGCAACACGUACGAGCGCGUGGAACACAGCACGACCACGCAGCCGAAAUCUGUUUACUUCUCAAGUUCUGUGACGGUGUCCGGGGCGCAACGCAUAUUCGCGAACCAUACGAGACGUCGUCACCAUGUCCGACGCCCCAAAGAAAGCCGCAAAGCGGCUCAUCAAGUGGCGCGAUAGCGCCCGCCGUCAACUGUCGACCGCCUCGUGUAGCGACGAUCUCGCCAGCGCCCUGCAAUUCGUUCUUCGAAACGUCGCAAAAACUUUCAGAGCCGUGCUACUUUCGUCCGACGACGAUCAACUGUCCCGGGACUUGAACGACGUCUUGUGCCAUGUGUCGUCUCACCUGUACCUACGUUCCCGCUCCUUGCUCGCCGAUCGGAGCAGCCGUUUCGACUACUGGGCGCAUCAGUGCGCUGUGCUCUCGUACCUCUUGGACUUGUCUCUCGUUCGCGACGAUCCCGGCGCGUUCACCAAGAUCUGCUUCGUCCUGUCGAAGAACAAGCACGCCGUUUGGGACGUCCUCGUGCAGACGUCGGCGAUCUCCUCCGCGAGCGACCUGCAGUCCAAGCUGGUGGACUUGUUUCGCCGGUUCGCGGCCUACUGCCCGCGCACGUGCGCGAGCGCUGAGCUCUACUUCAAGUUCGUCGUGUGUGCCGCGUGCUUGGCGAGACGCUUGCCAGAACGCGGCUGGAAGACCGUCAAGCCAGUCGUCCCUCUCGAUCGAGCCCGCGGAGUUCGACUUCGAGGCAUGGUUCGCCGCGCAGCCGGCCUUGGUCGCGCUACUCCCUCGGUCCGAGGUGCCGACGUGUCGUGCCAAAGUGAUCGCGCGACUGUGCAAGAGCGCGUCUGACCCGUCCGAGCUGCUGGAAAGCCUGCCGGACUUUUACGGAUUCCGGUUGCGGUGGCAUCAGGACGACGUGCGACGCCGCGGCGGCCGCCGAAGUCGACAGUGUUCCGAAUCGCGGACGAAGAGGUUCCGGAGCGAGAACAAGACGCGAAGGUUGCCGAGGUUGAGGAUGAGCAGCUGCAAGCAAUCCUAGAUGCAACGCUGAGCCGUCUGCAGUCGAACUUCGCCACGCCCCACGCUAGUGAAGCCGAGCCCAACUCCGAGGUCAUCAGUGACAUCAGCAACUCUCCGCUGAACACAAGAGUAUUCUUGGACAGACUUCUCCGCAACAGUGCUGGUGAUACUGGUGAUGGUGAACUGUUGAAGAAUGCCGAAUCCCCCACGAAGAAGCUCGGCAGCAGGCAACACGAAUCGGUUGAAGGGGUCAACAACAGUGCAGAAAACGAAGCUGUUACGGCUGCACUGGCAAAAGGUUAUGAACAUGCAAGUGUGGCUCAAGAAACGUCGGAAGGUGAAGGUGGAGAUGGAAAUUGUGCAGACGGAACACCCGCGGUGUCACAUCCACGAAAGAAACGCCGGAAGCGGAAGAGGGUUCGCAAAGCUCAUACCUCGAGCAAGCUGCAUGGAACUGCAGAAGCUGAAUGACAAGCUGACCGCAUCAAAAACUGCAUGAAGAGUCUGAUGCUUCCGCACUCUCUACGGAUGAUGAAGUUCAGGAGAAGACUCGUAAGUCUUCUCGAGGAAACAUGCUUCGCCAACAUGUGCAUGAACCUUGUUCGGUUUCAGCUGCACGAGAUUCGGAUACUCUGGCCAUGCUUAAUGGCAAGUAGGCAUGGAGUGAACGGUGACCAGCGUGGAGUGAAAGUGACAGAGCAUGAUGUCCACAGUGACCACGAAGAAAUGUUGCAUGUGCACCGUGACUCCAAAACCAAUGCUAAAAGGUCGUCGACAAAGGGUAGAGAGAAGCACGGUGGACACACUGAUGAUUCCACUGAAAGUUUCUCAAGUUCUCUGGACGAUGAGGUUGUUGAGAAAGCCGUUAGACAGGCAACGUCUGACGAUGCUGCCAAAGCUCCUUCGAGUGUGUCGGAUGCUGAGGUUGCUGCAGAAAAUGGUGGACAGAAUCUGCUUGAGGAUGCUGCUGUAACUCUUUCAAAAUCAGAUUCAGAGUCUUCUGGGCAGCCCCUUCUGCUUACGCCUGUCGAGGCUGGAGAUAUGGCCACUGUGAUUACUAUGAAGAAGGCACGUAGGAGCCGAAUCGUAAUUUCCUCUGAGUCCUCUGAUGAAGAACACAGUGUUAAGCACUCAGCACUUGAAGCUGAGCCAGCACGAGCGGUGAAGCAGGCAUGUAGGAGCAGAACUUUCAUUUCCUCCGAGUUUUCUGAUGAAGAUCACAGUGCUGAGCGCUUGCCACUGCAAAAAGCAGAGUCUACUGAUGAAGGCGGCGUUGUUGAAGACUUAGAACAAGAAGAUGGGUCUUCCGACAAUGAGGGUAGCGUCAAACAAUCAGCACCACAAGAAGCCAAGUCUUCUGAAAAGCGCUGUGUUGAGCACUCAUCUCAACAGGACCACAAGCCAGCGAGAGCUGUGAAGAAGGCACGUAAGAGCAGAACUUUCAUUUCAUCUGAGUCUUCUGAUGAACAUCACAGUGUUGAGCACUUGCCACUACAUAAAGCCGAGUCUACUGAUGAAGGGGGCGUUGUUGAAGACUUAGAACAAGAAGCUGAGUCUUCUGACAAUGAGGGUAGCGUCAAGCAGUCAGCACCACAAGAAGCCAAGUCUUCUGAAAAGCGCUGUGUUGAGCACUCAUCUCAACAGGACCACAAGCCAGCGAGAACUGUGAAGAAGGCACGUAAGAGCAGAACUUUCAUUUCAUCUGAGUCUUCUGAUGAACAUCACAGUGUUGAGCACUUGCCACUACAUAAAGCAGAGUCAUCUGAUGAAGAGGGCAUUUUUGAUCACUCAGCACAAAAAGCAGAGUUUUCAGAUCAAGAGUGCAGUGCUGAGAACUCAGUACAAGAAGCCGAGCCUUUGGAAAGGCAAUGCAUUGAGCACUCAGCACAAUGGGAAGUCGAGCCAGUGAGAACUGUUAAAAAGGCACGUAGGAGCAGUGCAUUAAUUUCCUCCGAGUCUUCUGAUGGAGAUCAUGGUGUUGAGCACUCGCCACUACAAAAAACCGAGUCUUCGGAUGAAGAGGGCAGCGUUGAGAAAUCAGCACUACAAGAACCCAAGUCUGCUGAAAAGCACUGUGUUGAACACUCAGACCAACGAGAAGACGAGCCAGUGAGAACUGUUAAGAAGGCACGUAGGAGCAGAGCAUUAAUUUCCUCCGAGUCUUCUGAUGGAGAUCAUGGUGUUGAGCACUCGCCACUACGAAAAACCGAGUCUUCGGAUGAAGAGGGCAGCGUUGAGAAAUCAGCACUACAAGAACCCAAGUCUGCUGAAAAGCACUGUGUUGAACACUCAGACCAACGAGAAGACGAGCCAGUGAGAACUGUUAAGAAGGCACGUAGGAGCAGAGCAUUAAUUUCCUCCGAGUCUUCUGAUGGAGAUCAUGGUGUUGAGUACUCGCCACUACAAACAACUGAGUCUUCCGAUGAAGAGGGCAGCGUUGAGAAGUCAGCACUACAAGAACCCAAGUCUGCUGAAAAGCACUGCGUUGAACACUCAGACCAACGAGAAGACGAGCCAGUGAGAACUUUUCAGAAGGCCCGUAGGAGCAGAACACUCGUUUCCUCCGAGUCUUCUGAUGAAGAUCGCAGUGUUGAGCACUCACCACUACAAGAAGCCAAGUCUUCCAAUGAAGAGGGCAGCGUUGAUCACUCGGCACAACAGGAAGUCGAGCCAGCAAGAACUGUAAAGAAGACACGUAGGAGCAAAACUUCAAUAAUUUUCUCCAAGUCUUCUGUUAGAGAUGACAGUGUUGAGCACUUGCCACUGCAACGAGCCGAGUGUUCCGAUGAAGAGGGCAGUGUUGAGCACUCAGCACAACAGGAAGUCAAGCCAGCAAGAACUGUAAAGAAGACACGUAGGAGCAAAACUUCCUUCGAGUCUUCUGAUGAAGGCGACAGUGUUGAGCACUUGCCACUAAAAAAAGCCAUGUCAUCUGAUGAAGAGGACAUUGUGGAUCACUCAGUACAAAAAGCUGAGUUUUCUGAUCAAAAGGGCAGUGCUGAGCGCUCAGCGCCACAGGAAGCCGAGUCUUUUGAAAAGCGCUAUAUUAAGCACUCUGCACAACGGGAAAUCAAGCCAUCAAGAACUGUUAAGAAGGCAGGUAGGAGCAAAACUGUAAUUUCCUCCGAGUCUUCUGACGAAGACCACAGUGCUGAGUACUUGCCACACCAAAAAUCUGAGUCUUCCAAUGAAAAGGGCACUGUUCAACUCUCAGCACACGAAGACGAGUCUUCUGACGAAGAGAACGGUGUAGAGUGCUCAGCACCACAAAAAGCAGUGCCUUCUAAUAGUGGGAGCAGUGUGGGACACCCAGCGCAACAAGCUAAGUCAUCCGAUAAGGAAGUGUGUGUGAAGCACUCAGCAACACAAGAAGAAUCUUCCAAUGAAAAGGGCAGUGUUGAAGACUCGGCGCUGCAAGAAGCGGAGCCUUCUGAUGGAGAAGGCAGUGUUGACCACUCGACUCGGCAAGACGCUGAGUUUUCUGAUAAAUGCAGCGUUGAGCAUCCUGCGCAUCCACAACCUGGACAACCUGCAGUUUUUUCAGAAAUGGCUGAUGAAAUCCCGUGCGGGCAGCGGUCACCGUGUGCUUUGUCACUGCUAGACAUGCACCUCUCGCCUCCCGAAAGUGACAAAUAUAACUCUCUCUCUCCAGUGAUUCAGGGCAGUCACCCGGCUGCUGAAUCUGAUGCUGAUACCUUGGAGAUACAAUCUAAUGAUGAAGGUGUCGCUUCUUGCAGGCAACGGGCUCCUCGCCUGUCACAAGCCACAACUGUUUCGGUUUCGUCCCAGAGGCGCUCGCCGUCACCUUUUUCGAAACUCAGGGAAAGGGUGAUGUCUUUUGAAGAGGAUUCUGAUGACGAAACAGAUGCUGUGGAUUUCAGAAGGAAGAAGACAUCUGCAGCUUUGCCACAGUCUCCUUUUAAGCUGCCGCUUCUCAAAAAGCCUGGCACUUCUGCUCUUUGUAAGUCUGUUAAAUCAAAACGUCAGGAUGGACGUUGCAGCUCGGAUAAAAGGAACAGCCCCAGCAAGAGCCAGCCUGCACGAAGGAGGGUGCGCUCUCGCGGUUCAGUUUCUCCACAAGUCAAACAGGUAGCAAUGUCCAACAAAUGGCAAGUUUCAGUGUCUGACUCCGAUAGUGCAGAUGCAGCUACAAGUGACAUAGCCAGUGUGAGCUUAAGGAGUAGUGUCGUGGGAUCGAGCAAUGUGUCAGCGGCAAAGGCUAAAGAUCUCAGUCCUGGCAACAAAAAGGCAAGCACUCGUCGUAACAGCCCUCGAACAUCAUUGCCCACGAAUAAGUCCUCUAAGCUGCCAGAAGCAAACAAAACAUCAGAAUUGGAGAGAAAUGGUGCUUCAGGAUUGGACUCUGAUGUAUGUCAAGAGGACGAAAACAAACCACUUGUGUCUGGAAAACAAACUAGAGAAAGCCCAGCAAACGUAGAGAAGGUGGUAACGCUUAAAACUUCACUUCCAAACAGAAGAAAGGAUACGCCUCGUCCACCGCCUUUGACUUCGGAUCUCGCCCUUCGAGAAAAGGCAACACUGAAGUUGUCUUCCAGUCACGAUUCGGAUGGUGCAAGUGUCAUUGUGAAUAAGGAGAGCGGAAGCAGCGAGCACUCAAGGCAAAACAAGGACAGUGCCAUGCAGCCGCUGGAAUCUGUAGUGUCUACCCGGAGGCUAAGCGCAAGGAGUUGUGCUAGAAGACUGGUAUUAGGACAGCAAAAUGAAGUUAGUGACUCCAACUCUAGCAGCACUUGUAUCGACGUAAAUGGCCGGACUGUGCAAAGCAUCGAUGUAGCAAGUCUGUCAACGGGGGUGGAAAGGCAGGAUGAUUCAAAGAAUGCAAAUUUAACUCCGGAAAAGCCAUGUGCUCCUGCAAAACGUUCCAGUGGGCACCUCGCUCAUAGAAUAGAGGCAUCCACGAGACCAGGCGAUUUGAGUGACAAUGGAAUCGAACAUGACGCUCCUCGCAAGCACCCGUGUCCAAAGUCACCCACAGAAAUGGCUAUCUCAUCUAUGAUCAAGCAGAAGCCUGGAAUUGAGGCGGUAGGCGCAAGCACCAGCAGGACUGGACAGCUGGCUUCUGGCAGUGGGUACGGAAGUUCACCGUCACCAAUUAGAGGCAAAACCCCUGCCUAUGCUGUAAAUGAAACGGGGCAAGCCAAGCAUGGAGUUUUGACUCGGAGUGCGCGCAGGCAGUUGUCCUUUGCAAUCGAUAAGACCUCCCUGUCAAAAGUAGGCAGAACGACGAGGUCCUCAAGGGUCGUGGGACCCGACGUCGAGUCAUGUGGCAAUUCUGGGGACACAACAACGAAAAGCAGGUUACGUGAAAAUAUAGAACCACCACCAUUGAAGGCGAGGCGAAGGGUUUUACAGGACAGCAUAAAUGACGGUGACUCUGUCAGCGAUCUUUUGUCUACACAAGGUGAAGAGGCCAUAACUGAGAAAGAGAGUGAGAAUGAGAACAAGGGAGUAGGCAGUCCAUCUCCAACAGUGACUAAGUGUCCAGCCAUAACAGUGGGUCGCUUGCAAAGUAAUGAAACAGAAUCAGCAGCCACUGUUAGUGGAAGUCGAAACAUGCCCAGAACUCGCUCUGUUACGGUUUCACUGAAAGGUAGGGAGGAGGUGCAGGUACCAAGCACCACGUGUGAUGUUUCACAUGCCAGCAAGCAGCAACUAGAAGGAUCAAACACUGGCCACAUUGCUGGUUCGUCAAGGUCACCAUUAAGAACACCUUCCAAGCGCAGGCGAGUCGCCGAAGCUGGCGCAAAUGUGACGCCACCCCUGGAAACCACGGAACGUGAUUUGUCUCAAACAAAUGACGGUCUUGGCGGGCUGACGCAGGUGCCCCUGUUGCGAAAUGUCAACGCUUCAUCCGACUCCUUGAGUUCCAACGAAGAGAAGGAAUUCGUUUGUGCCAUGCGACAGCGAACACAGUCAUUGCGAAGGCUGCCUUCACGAAGGUGUUCCCAGCGUAAUAACGAAGAGGAUUUCGUCAUUGAUGUUGAUGCAAUGGUUCGUUCCUUUUCGGACUCUGACGAUGGCGACCCUUCCUACGAAGUCCGUGAAACGAACCUUGACGCCAGCAUCGCCCGCCUGAGAAGACUCAAGGUGCCUCUUUAUGCACUGCAAGAAGAACAGUCAAGACCGCAGAGUGCUGCUUCAAGCUAUAAGGUUGCAAGCACAAGCGCAAGGAGGACUGGUAGGCUCUCGCUGACUGCAAUACGAGCUUCGCAGUCCGAGAACAGUGCAAGCACUCAGUCCAGCCGGUCACCUCGUUUCAGCCCAGCGCCAACUACGUCCAGUGGAAUAACAGACGCACAGAGCCCCUCGUCCAACUUCUGCACAUGCCAGUCGCCGUCCAGACACACGAGGAGUUUUGGCACUGGGCCGAUUGGUGCAGCGAUGGAAAAGCAAGCAGAACAAGAUGUACAAAGUCAAUUCCAAAGCAACGUCGGUGCGCCGCCAGUCCAUACGGACACAGCAACAUCCGCAGAAAAGACUCCAGUUCUGAGGCGAUCCACACGUGUCGGUACGAAACGAGACACACCGGCAUGGCCCACUCGUUCUAACCACCUGACGAGCAAGGUGCCUGCGGCAGCAAAGGGCCCGCGUCACCCGAGCAAGGACUUGGAUGUUUUCACCCAAGAACAGACUUCGCGGGCCACCAAAAGGAGCAAGAACUCGAAAAUGAGCCCUUUGUUGAAAACGCACACGGAGCCUUCCGACGAAAGUUUGAACGCAGCCGAACAGGAAUCCGUGACGGACAAGGCGUCAAGCGCCAUUUGCUCAACCUGCAAUCGCUCUGUGAAUUCUCCCAGCACUCAGGACAGUGGCACCAUGACGGACGACAGUUACCUUCAUGACGAGGACGCUUUUUCGGACUCGCCAAGGUAUUCCAAACGUAGGAAGACUGCUGGCCACAGUGCGUCAGUGUCACGGCCAAAGGCUGGAGCUGCCAGGUCAUCUCGCCAACACGGUGCAGCAAGUCAAGAUGCAAGUGUUCCAGUGAGGCGCAGCUCCCGUACAACCGCAGGUGCAUUGCGCAGACUGAGUUACUCCUGAAGCUCUGCUAUGUGUGGUGGGGAAAUAUCGUAAUGGACAAUUCUAUUCUGCUUGUGAUGUCGUUGUUGCUUGUGGGACCUUGUUAAUGGCAUUCACAGUGUUCCGACAGAACUGCAUUGGCAUAGCUUAUGUAACUGAAAGAUAAGUACUGUUGAAUUAUGUGUCAGUAAAUUUCAUAUCACUUAAUUUUUUUAGCUGAGGGUGGCAUACAGUUCAUCUUUGAAUGUUUCAUUUAAUGUUUGUUUUGCAAUAGUUGUAUGUGAUGUAGCGUACAGUAGCAGGGCAGCUGAUCUCACAGUAUGGUGUUGGCUCGGCUGUGUGCUUGUGUGAUUUACCAGGUUUAUUAUAGGUGUCAUGCACUUGAAGUUCAUUUGAGUAUGUUGAUGGAAAUGUAGACAAAGCAGUAAGUGAACUCAUUAAUGACCUUGUCGGAUUUGGCAUUCUUUGUAUGUAGUUAUAUCGUCAUCUGGUUUUGAAGACUUGACAAUAGCUUUAAUAAAACAGCAUUUAUGUUCUGUGCAUUGAAAGGCAUCGCAAGUGCAAUAUUCUUGGAGAAGGCAGCAUUUUUUGAGAAUGAUAAAAGUGUUGUGACUUUGGGGAUAUUAUCGUCUACCACAGGUUCCCGUGGAAACUAAGUAUGAGCUGUCAUGGUCAUUAUCUUAGAUAAUUAAACAAGAAAGGCUUCCAGUUCAUCUAAGUAAUGCACACGAGGGACAUAGCCAGAAAUUUAUUUCAGGGGAAGUGGAGUGGGAGGGGGGCAUCCCACCUUUAUUAUGUGCGUUUGUGUGUGAAUGUGUAUGUAUACAUGCAGAAUGUAAAAUUUCGGGUGGGGGUGGUGAUGAGAUCCCCCCCCCCCUUCUGGCUUCUCUUCUGGCUACGCUAAUGAUGCACAUGCUUACUUUUUAUUUGGACUCCCUUUGCAAAGUGCUUUCUGCGGGUCUAGUGAAACAAACUGACCGCCAAGAGCAAAGCUUUAUAUGUUGAGAACAAAACAUUUGGCUUGGGUGUAAAGGCUUAUCGACAUGCACUGCAAAGCACAUAAAUUGCUGCACGUAUACAGUGUAGUCUGCCGUUCGCCUAAAUGUGCGAGUGUGCUCACACUGUUUCAGGCAGGCAGCACAUGGCUGGGCCUUGUCAUCUGCUACUCAGGCGGGCACCCUACGCUUAUAUCAAGAACAAACAUAUUUUUUCCUCAAUCCGAGCAUUGGCACCAGUACAUAUUUCUUCCUGAUCAGCGGUGAAUUUGAAUUAAGUUCCCAUGCUUCUGUAGUAAACUGGCAGACUUUUUCCACUCUGUGUUUUGAGUUGUCCACCCUGUGUGAUAAAAUUUUGUUGGUGGCACUAGUCCUGUUUAUUGCACUCGUGCAGUGUACUGAAUAUACUUUCACACCUUUGCUGGUAUGGUAAACAACUAUGGGUUUUAAUGUUCAUGUGAACAGUCGACCAUCUUGUAUGUGUGGCCCUGCCCAUAUAUGCGCAGUUACCUUUGAAAGCGAAUGCGCUAUCUGGGACUGCCCAGUGCACUUAUUGAACAGCUGCUUAAGAAAGUGCAAAAGUCGCAGUCACCGAACAAUCUCUCAUUCUGUUUUUGUUUGGUUUCCGGGAAAUAGGGUUAAGCAGAUUCGUUUAUAAGCCCUUGUGUGAGUGUUUUUGCCCAAGCGUGUGCUUUUUAUGCAGAUGCUUUUAUGAAAAUGGUUUUGCUAGAACUUGCUGGGGGAAUCUAUUUGUUGGGUUUCUUGUGUUACGCAAACGUUUAGAUUUUUUUAUGCCUUGCCGUUAAUAUUACCAUUGUGGCACGUGACUUCGUCACAUUAAUGGUUCAUCUCCAAGUCCCUUACUAUUGUUGAGGUGUCCUUGUUGACACAAUGAUUACAUGUGCGGCACAUGUUUCACAAAUGUUCUGUUUGCAGUGUACACUUUGUUGAUGCCAUAUUUCGCUAUCUUUCUACAGUUGUAAGAAGAGAUAUGUUAAUGUUCGUGUUUAUAUAAGUGCUUUGUUAUAUGGAGACUAUUUGCACUUUGCUACUGGCGUGAAGCUUACUCAACACUCAGUUUCUGUGAUUCUGUGUUAUGUUCUGAAGUUAAAAGUCAGUUUCAUGCUGCCAGACAGGGGGUGUGCAUAUUUUGGUGUGUCAUAUCUUUCAUCAUUCAUUCUUGUUAUUCAUGCAUCGAGUGCUGCAUGAUGGUUAGUCACCUUAAAGUUUUUAGUGACGAGGUUUGCGAGAGUAUAAUAAAAAGCUGAAC
RNA transcript from Rhipicephalus sanguineus (brown dog tick), 10356 nucleotides. It is a transcript of the gene named dentin sialophosphoprotein, with no coding region annotated. Lineage: Eukaryota; Metazoa; Arthropoda; Arachnida; Ixodida; Ixodidae. The transcript is spliced from 4 exons. The record is from RefSeq and is a predicted model, not a curated record.